This 19-nucleotide small RNA is filed under the name Arabidopsis thaliana (thale cress). RNAcentral describes it as "ATSL004530". Lineage: Eukaryota; Viridiplantae; Streptophyta; Magnoliopsida; Brassicales; Brassicaceae. The record is from RNAcentral.
UUUUUUUUUAACAUUAAAC